RNAcentral lists this ribosomal RNA (301 nucleotides) under uncultured bacterium. RNAcentral describes it as "partial 16S ribosomal RNA". It matches the Rfam family "Bacterial small subunit ribosomal RNA", at positions 509 to 807 of the family's 1533-position model. The record is from RNAcentral.
CAGCCGCCGCGGGAAUACGAAGGGGGCUAGCGUUGCUCGGAAUCACUGGGCGUAAAGGGUGCGUAGGCGGGUCUUUAAGUCAGGGGCGAAAUCCUGGAGCUCAACUCCAGAACUGCCUUUGAUACUGAAGAUCUUGAGUUCGGGAGAGGUGAGUGGAACUGCGAGUGUAGAGGUGAAAUUCGUAGAUAUUCGCAAGAACACCAGUGGCGAAGGCGGCUCACUGGCCCGAUACUGACGCUGAGGCACGAAAGCGUGGGGAGCAAACAGGAUUAGAUACCCGGGUAGUCCCUGUCUCUUAUAC